UUGGUUGAUGUUCAUAUAUAUUGUGUAACAAACUCGUCUCUAAACUCCUCUAUCUUGGGAGAGGAAACUCAGCAUUUUUAAGCCGUAGCAGCGCUGCACAUGAGUGGACUAUUACAGGCUAUGCCACAGGACUGUCCACCCUUUGACAGGUACUGCUGAUGAUACUCCUCAGCUCUGUAGAAUUUCUUAGCUGGUAGAAUCUCAGUCAUGAUCUUACUCUCCAUUUGUUGCUGGUGACGUUCCAUUGACUCUGCCGCUUGUUUCUCCUGCUCAGGUGUGUAGAAGUAUAUCCCUGAUCUGUAUUGGGUUCCCACAUCUUUUCCCUGAUAACAGUUCAAGUCAUUAGCCACGGUAAAAGUAGUCAAGGGAUAGUUUCACUACAUAGAUAUGUUAUUAUAAUAAGUAUUGUUCUCUAUCUAAAGUCUUAAAACUUUAAAAAUUUAGCAAUCUCCAACAUAAAAAGUUUAAAUCCUGGGACCAAGUUAAGAGAAACCC
RNAcentral lists this long non-coding RNA (495 nucleotides) under Brassica napus (rape). RNAcentral's name for it is "long non-coding RNA (BNAP_LNC001975)". Lineage: Eukaryota; Viridiplantae; Streptophyta; Magnoliopsida; Brassicales; Brassicaceae. The record is from RNAcentral.